RNAcentral lists this ribosomal RNA (494 nucleotides) under uncultured bacterium. RNAcentral describes it as "partial 16S ribosomal RNA". It matches the Rfam family "Bacterial small subunit ribosomal RNA", at positions 28 to 507 of the family's 1533-position model. The record is from RNAcentral.
GACGAACGCUGGCGGCGUGCUUAACACAUGCAAGUCGAACGGUGAAGCGCCUUCCUUUUUGGUGGGUGUGGAUGAGUGGCGAACGGGUGCGUAACACGUGAGUAACCUGCCCCCUUCUUCUGGAUAACCGCAUGAAAGCGUGGCCAAUACGGGAUAUCCUGCGUCUGUCGCAUGAUGGGUCUGGGUCAGAUAUUGUUUAGGUGGGGGAUGGGCUCGCGGCCUAUCAGCUUGUUGGUGCGGUGAUGGCCUACCAGGGCGGUGACGGGUAGCCGGCCUGGGAGGGUAGACGGCCUGACAGGGACUGAGGCACGGUCGGGACUGAUACAGGGGGCAGCAUCGUACGGGAGUGAACAGUGGGGACAAGUGUAGUACGGCGGCGCCCCGGAUGGAGUAAAGCCCCUCGGGUGGUGAAGCCCUUCCGGCAGUGAAGCGGUCUCGCCUGGGAUGUAGCUUGAUUGACGGUAACUGGUAAAGAAGCACCGGCUAACUACGUG